UACAGGGGGUGCAAACGUUGCUCGGAAUCAUUGGGCGUAAAGCGCACGUAGGCGGUUCGUUAUGUCGGAUGUGAAAGCCCUUGGCUUAACCGAGGAAGUGCAUCCGAAACUGGCGAGCUAGAGUACUAAAGAGGAUCGCGGAAUUCCCGGUGUAGAGGUGAAAUUCGUAGAUAUCGGGAGGAACACCGGUGGCGAAGGCGGCCUGCUGGGCUAUGGCUGACACUGAGGCGCGACAGCGUGGGGAGCAAACAGG
Molecule: ribosomal RNA, 253 nt
Filed under: uncultured bacterium
Lineage: Bacteria
Description: partial 16S ribosomal RNA
Rfam family: Bacterial small subunit ribosomal RNA
Source: RNAcentral